RNAcentral lists this microRNA (23 nucleotides) under Lottia gigantea (owl limpet). RNAcentral describes it as "Lgi-Mir-124-P12_5p* (star (passenger))". The record is from RNAcentral. Lineage: Eukaryota; Metazoa; Mollusca; Gastropoda; Lottiidae.
GUGUUCACUGUGAAAGCCUUGGU